RNAcentral lists this ribosomal RNA (301 nucleotides) under uncultured bacterium. RNAcentral describes it as "partial 16S ribosomal RNA". It matches the Rfam family "Bacterial small subunit ribosomal RNA", at positions 509 to 807 of the family's 1533-position model. The record is from RNAcentral.
CAGCAGCCACGGUAAUACGUAGGUGGCAAGCGUUGUCCGGAAUUAUUGGGCGUAAAGGGCUCGCAGGCGGUUUCUUAAGUCUGAUGUGAAAGCCCCCGGCUCAACCGGGGAGGGUCAUUGGAAACUGGGAAACUUGAGUGCAGAAGAGGAGAGUGGAAUUCCACGUGUAGCGGUGGAAUGCGUAGAGAUGUGGAGGAACACCAGUGGCGAAGGCGACUCUCUGGUCUGUAACUGACGCUGAGGAGCGAAAGCGUGGGGAGCGAACAGGAUUAGAUACCCCCGUAGUCCCUGUCUCUUAUAC